RNAcentral lists this ribosomal RNA (1431 nucleotides) under uncultured organism. Its description in RNAcentral is "16S ribosomal RNA". It matches the Rfam family "Bacterial small subunit ribosomal RNA". The record is from RNAcentral.
CUUAACACAUGCAAGUCGAGGGGCAGCAUGGUCUUAGCUUGCUAAGGCCGAUGGCGACCGGCGCACGGGUGAGUAACACGUAUCCAACCUGCCGUCUACUCUUGGACAGCCUUCUGAAAGGAAGAUUAAUACAAGAUGGCAUCAUGAGUCCGCAUGUUCACAUGAUUAAAGGUAUUCCGGUAGACGAUGGGGAUGCGUUCCAUUAGAUAGUAGGCGGGGUAACGGCCCACCUAGUCUUCGAUGGAUAGGGGUUCUGAGAGGAAGGUCCCCCACAUUGGAACUGAGACACGGUCCAAACUCCUACGGGAGGCAGCAGUGAGGAAUAUUGGUCAAUGGGCGAGAGCCUGAACCAGCCAAGUAGCGUGAAGGAUGACUGCCCUAUGGGUUGUAAACUUCUUUUAUAAAGGAAUAAAGUCGGGUAUGGAUACCCGUUUGCAUGUACUUUAUGAAUAAGGAUCGGCUAACUCCGUGCCAGCAGCCGCGGUAAUACGGAGGAUCCGAGCGUUAUCCGGAUUUAUUGGGUUUAAAGGGAGCGUAGAUGGAUGUUUAAGUCAGUUGUGAAAGUUUGCGGCUCAACCGUAAAAUUGCAGUUGAUACUGGAUAUCUUGAGUGCAGUUGAGGCAGGCGGAAUUCGUGGUGUAGCGGUGAAAUGCUUAGAUAUCACGAAGAACUCCGAUUGCGAAGGCAGCCUGCUAAGCUGCAACUGACAUUGAGGCUCGAAAGUGUGGGUAUCAAACAGGAUUAGAUACCCUGGUAGUCCACACGGUAAACGAUGAAUACUCGCUGUUUGCGAUAUACUGCAAGCGGCCAAGCGAAAGCGUUAAGUAUUCCCACCUGGGGAGUACGCCGGCAACGGUGAAACUCGAAGGAAUUGACGGGGGCCCGCACAAGCGGAGGAACAUGUGGUUUAAUUCGAUGAUACGCGAGGAACCUUACCCGGGCUUAAAUUGCAGAUGAAUUACGGUGAAAGCCGUAAGCCGCAAGGCAUCUGUGAAGGUGCUGCAUGGUUGUCGUCAGCUCGUGCCGUGAGGUGUCGGCUUAAGUGCCAUAACGAGCGCAACCCUUGUUGUCAGUUACUAACAGGUUCCGCUGAGGACUCUGACAAGACUGCCAUCGUAAGAUGUGAGGAAGGUGGGGAUGACGUCAAAUCAGCACGGCCCUUACGUCCGGGGCUACACACGUGUUACAAUGGGGGGUACAGAGGGCCGCUACCACGCGAGUGGAUGCCAAUCCCCAAAACCUCUCUCAGUUCGGACUGGAGUCUGCAACCCGACUCCACGAAGCUGGAUUCGCUAGUAAUCGCGCAUCAGCCACGGCGCGGUGAAUACGUUCCCGGGCCUUGUACACACCGCCCGUCAAGCCAUGGGAGCCGGGGGUACCUGAAGUGCGUAACCGCGAGGAGCGCCCUAGGGUAAAACUGGUGACUGGGGC